RNAcentral lists this ribosomal RNA (305 nucleotides) under uncultured bacterium. RNAcentral describes it as "bacterial SSU rRNA". It matches the Rfam family "Bacterial small subunit ribosomal RNA", at positions 335 to 632 of the family's 1533-position model. The record is from RNAcentral.
CGCCCUACGGGAGGCAGCAGUAGGGAAUCUUUCACAAUGGGCGAAAGCCUGAUGGAGCAACGCCGCGUGGGUGAAGAAGGUCUUCGGAUCGUAAAACCCUGUUGUUAGAGAAAAAAGUGCGUGAGAGUAACUGUUCACGUUUCGACGGUAUCUAACCAGAAAGCCACGGCUAACUACGUGCCAGCAGCCGCGGCAAUACGUAGGUGGCAAGCGUUAUCCGGAUUUAUUGGGCGUAAAGGGAACGCAGGCGGCCAUUUAAGGCUGAUGUGAAAGCCUUCGGCUUAACCGGAGUAGUGCAAUGGAAA